UGAAUACGAGACGCUAAGGCGUCGAAGUAGUGUAUGUCAUACUUCCAAGAAAAGCUUGCACAGUCAUAGAUAAAAAACGCCUGUACCAUAACCGACACAGGUGGGUAGGUAGAGUAUACUAAGGGGCGCGAGAUAACUCUCUCUAAGAAACUCGGCAAAAUAACUCCGUAACUUCGGGAGAAGGAGUGCCUUAUUCGUAAGGUUGCAAUAACAAGAUCCAAGCAACUGUUUAUCAAAAACACAGGUCUCCGCUAAGUCGUAAGACGAUGUAUGGGGGCUGACGCCUGCCCAGUGCCAGAAGGUUAAAGAAGUUGGUUAGCAAUUGCGAAGCUGAUAACUGAAGCCCUGGUGAACGGCGGCCGUAACUAUAACGGUCCUAAGGUAGCGAAAUUCCUUGUCGGGUAAGUUCCGACCCGCACGAAAGGCGUAAUGAUUUGGAUACUGUCUCGGAGAGGGGCUCGGUGAAAUAGACUUGCCUGUGAAGAUGCGGACUACCUGCACCAGGACAGAAAGACCCUAUGAAGUUUUACUGUAACUUGAAAUUGAAAUUGGACUUUAUUCGCGCAGUAUAGGUGGGAGGCGUUGAUUAUAAUCUUGUGGGAUUAUUGGAGCCAUCAGUGAGAUACCACUCUUGUAAUGUUAGAUUUCUAACUUUGAAUCAUUAUCUGGUCAAAGAACAGUUUCAGGCGGGCAGUUUGACUGGGGCGGUCGCCUCCUAAACGGUAACGGAGGCGUACAAAGGUUUCCUCUGAACGGUUAGAAAUCGUAUCUAGAGUGUAAAGGCAUAAGGAAGCUUGACUGUGAGACCUACAAGUCGAGCAGGGACGAAAGUCGGUCUUAGUGAUCUGUCGGUACUGAGUGGAAAGGCCGUCACUCAACGGAUAAAAGUUACUCUAGGAUAACAGGCUGAUCUCCCCCAAGAGUUCACAUCGACGGGGAGGUUUGGCACCUCGAUGUCGGCUCAUCGCAUCCUGGGGCGGUAGUACGUCCCAAGGGUUGGGCUGUUCGCCCAUGAAAGCGGUACGCGAGCUGGGUUCAGAACGUCGUGAGACAGUUCGGUCCAUAUCCGGUGUAGGCGUUAGAAUAUUGAGAGGAGCCUUCUUUAGUACGGGGGGACCGAGAAGGACAUACCUCUGGUGUACCAGUUAUCGUGCCAACGGUAAACGCUGGGUAGCUAUGUAUGGAGUGGAUAACCGCUGAAAGCAUCUAAGUGGGAAGCCCACCUCAAGAUAAGUAUUCUCAUC
RNAcentral lists this ribosomal RNA (1244 nucleotides) under metagenome. RNAcentral describes it as "bacterial LSU rRNA". It matches the Rfam family "Bacterial large subunit ribosomal RNA", at positions 1564 to 2818 of the family's 2925-position model. The record is from RNAcentral.